AUAAAACAAUGAUACCAAUGUGCAAUCACGUGAUUGCAGACAGGCCUUUGUUUCUUUCCUUCACGUCUCUUUCUUUCACCAAAGCCCAUUCCAUUUCCAAAGCCUUCUCUAGAAGAGAGAGAGAGAGAUGGAGCCACCAGCAGCACAGGCCAUAGAGAGGAAUUACCAGGCAGGAGAAGAUGAACAGGACAAAGUUAUCAAUGAAUGUUGUUCUUGCUGUUAUGAUUGCACAGAGAAUUGCUUUGAUUACUUGUGCUGUUACAACCUCUGCUAAUUACGAGAGAAAUUAAAACUCUCGGAAUCACUGUUACUUACUUACCAUUGAUGUAGAAACUGGUUUCUUAUGGAUGGGAAAUCUUCCACAACUUAGUUGAAGAAUCACAGUACUUUUUAUUUCUUUCUUUUUUCCUUUUAAUUGUUUUAUGGGUAUAAUGCAAAUUUCGUAUUACUGGUUGGCUGUUUCUAGCAAGGAAAAUAAAUAAGACUAUUUUUCAUUAAAA
Molecule: long non-coding RNA, 500 nt
Organism: Hevea brasiliensis (rubber tree)
Lineage: Eukaryota; Viridiplantae; Streptophyta; Magnoliopsida; Malpighiales; Euphorbiaceae
Exons: 2
Source: RefSeq, a predicted model, not a curated record